This 163-nucleotide ribosomal RNA is filed under the name Dalechampia aristolochiifolia. RNAcentral describes it as "5.8S ribosomal RNA". It matches the Rfam family "5.8S ribosomal RNA". From Rfam's summary of the family: 5.8S ribosomal RNA (5.8S rRNA) is a component of the large subunit of the eukaryotic ribosome. It is transcribed by RNA polymerase I as part of the 45S precursor that also contains 18S and 28S rRNA. Lineage: Eukaryota; Viridiplantae; Streptophyta; Magnoliopsida; Malpighiales; Euphorbiaceae. The record is from RNAcentral. RNAcentral also lists the same sequence under 1 other name.
UAACGACUCUCGGCAACGGAUAUCUUGGCUCUCGCAUCGAUGAAGAACGCAGCAAAAUGCGAUACUUGGUGUGAAUUGCAGAAUCCCGUGAAUCAUCGAGUUUUUGAACGCAAGUUGCGCCCGAAGCCUUCCGGCCGAGGGCACGUCUGCCUGGGUGUCACGC